ACUCAGGUACCACCUCCAGUUCUACAGAUACAGGGAAGAACUCCGGUACCACCUCCAGUUCUACAGAUACAGGGAAGAACUCCGGUAAUGACGUCCACAGAUUCUCUCCCCUCAUACUGAUAUUUGGGGUCGUCACAAAGCUGUUCCUGAGUCCCUGAUAGAUUAUUGUAGACAGCAUUUGUCAUCCCGACGCCAAUGGAAUUGCUUACUGAACACAAUGACGGAUGACAUUUUACCACAACUUACAUGAUGUGAUUGGAACGGAAAAAAAUUGAGAGUACGCCAUUUGUUCGUACAUAUGAGAUUUUUAUACGUUUCAUGUGACAUCUAAGCUAGCAAUCGUAAUGAUCUUCAAAGAUGUAACUUAAAUACCUCCAAGAUAAUACAUUAAUUUUUCCAAUCACCAAUUUUUCUUUCAAAUGCAGAUAGUAGAUUUAGUAGCUAAGACAAUUCAUUUAAUUUGAUAUAAAAGUAAACCUUUUCAUAAUAGUAUAUUCAUCUACUUGGAAGUGAAGACAAUUCUUAUCGUAAUUUGGAUUUUAAGUUCUUUAGGUCUUUUAUAUGAUUGAAUUUGUAAAUGAUUGUAAAAGUAACUAAAUUAAUUUAUGGAAAUUUGAUGAUAUGUUCAUAAUCGUUUUGUAAAUGUUCAAGUUAUGUAUCGACAAUACAUUUGUCUAAUUUGGUCAACCUUGUGCUGUGAUAUCAUAUACUUAUUUGUGUUUAUAAUCUAAAAUAAAAAUGCAGUA
Long non-coding RNA from Pecten maximus, 746 nucleotides. RefSeq lists it as uncharacterized. NCBI's taxonomy places the organism in Eukaryota, Metazoa, Mollusca, Bivalvia, Pectinida, Pectinidae. The record is from RefSeq and is a predicted model, not a curated record. The transcript has 3 exons.